RNAcentral lists this ribosomal RNA (408 nucleotides) under uncultured bacterium. Its description in RNAcentral is "partial 16S ribosomal RNA". It matches the Rfam family "Bacterial small subunit ribosomal RNA", at positions 28 to 526 of the family's 1533-position model. The record is from RNAcentral.
GACGAACGCUGGCGGCGUGCUUAACACAUGCAAGUCGAACGAAGUGGCGAACGGGUGAGUAACGCGUAAUAAACCUGCACUUCAGAGGGGGACAACAGUUGGAAACGACUGCUAAUACCGCAUACUGAAGGAGGGGAUUGCGUCUGAUUAGCUAGUUGGAGGGGUACCGGCCCACAAAGGAGAUGAGCAGUAGCCGGUCUUAGCGGAUGAACGGCCACAUUGGUACUGAGACACGGCCCAGACUCCUACGGGAUGCAGCAGUGGGGAAUCUGCCGCAAUGGACGAAAGUCUGACGGAGCAACGCCGCGUGAGUGAUGACGGCCUUCGGGUUGUAAAGCUCUGUUAAUCGGGACGCGGUACCGGAAUAGAAAGCCACGGCUAACUACGUGCCAGCAGCCGCGGUAAUUC